CGACCGCUGGCGGCAUGCCUAACACAUGCAAGUCGAACGAGACCUUCGGGUCUAGUGGCGCCCGGGUGCGUAACGCGUGGGAACCUGCCCUUAGGUUCGGAAUAACUCCCCGAAAGGGGUGCUAAUACCGGAUAAUGUCUUCGGACCAAAGAUUUAUCGCCUUUGGAUGGGCCCGCGUUGGAUUAGCUAGUUGGUAGGGUAAAAGCCUACCAAGGCGACGAUCCAUAGCUGGUCUGAGAGGAUGAUCAGCCACACUGGGACUGAGACACGGCCCAGACUCCUACGGGAGGCAGCAGUGGGGAAUAUUGGACAAUGGGCGAAAGCCUGAUCCAGCAAUGCCGCGUGAGUGAUGAAGGCCUUAGGGUUGUAAAGCUCUUUUACCCGGGAUGAUAAUGACAGUACCGGGAGAAUAAGCGCCGGCUAACUCCGUG
RNAcentral lists this ribosomal RNA (431 nucleotides) under uncultured bacterium. RNAcentral's name for it is "partial 16S ribosomal RNA". It matches the Rfam family "Bacterial small subunit ribosomal RNA", at positions 30 to 507 of the family's 1533-position model. The record is from RNAcentral.